CCUACUGGGGGCUGCAGUGAGGAAUAUUGGUCAAUGGGCGUAAGCCUGAACCAGCCAAGUCGCGUGAGGGAUGAAGGUUCUAUGGAUCGUAAACCUCUUUUAUAAGGGAAUAAAGUGCGGGACGUGUCCCGUUUUGUAUGUACCUUAUGAAUAAGGAUCGGCUAACUCCGUGCCAGCAGCCGCGGUAAUACGGAAGGUCCGGGCGUUAUCCGGAUUUAUUGGGUUUAAAGGGAGCGUAGGCCGGCUUUUAAGUCAGCUGUGAAAGUCCGCGGCUCAACCGUGGAAUUGCAGUUGAAACUGGAGGCCUUGAGUGCACACAGGGAUGCCGGAAUUCAUGGUGUAGCGGUGGAAUGCUUAGAUAUCAUGAAGAACUCCGAUCGCGAAGGCAAGUGUCCGGGGUGCAACUGACGCUGAGGCUCGAAAGUGCGGGUAUCAAACAGGAUUAGAUACCCGGGUAGUC
Molecule: ribosomal RNA, 460 nt
Filed under: uncultured bacterium
Lineage: Bacteria
Description: partial 16S ribosomal RNA
Rfam family: Bacterial small subunit ribosomal RNA
Source: RNAcentral